This 497-nucleotide ribosomal RNA is filed under the name uncultured bacterium. Its description in RNAcentral is "partial 16S ribosomal RNA". It matches the Rfam family "Bacterial small subunit ribosomal RNA", at positions 28 to 507 of the family's 1533-position model. The record is from RNAcentral.
GAUGAACGCUGGCGGCGUGCCUAAUACAUGCAAGUCGAGCGAACGGACGAGAAGCUUGCUUCUCUGAUGUUAGCGGCGGACGGGUGAGUAACAUGUGGAUAACCUACCUAUAAGACUGGGAUAACUUCGCGAAACCGGAGCUAAUACCCGAUAAUAUUUUGAACCGCAUGGUUCAAAAGUGAAAGACGGUCUUGCUGUCACUUAUAGCUGGAUCCGCGCUGCAUUAGUUAGUUGGUAAGGUAACGGCUUACCAAGGCAACGAUGCAUAGCCGACCUGAGAGGGUGAUCGGACACACUGGAACUGAGAAACGGUCCAGACUCCGACGGGAGGCAGCAGUAGGGAAUCUUACGCAAUGGGCGAAAGCCUGACAGAGCAACGCCGCGUGAGUGAUGAAGGUCUUCGGAUCGUAAAGCUCUGUAAGUAGGGAGGAACAUAUGUGUAAGUAACUGUGCACAUCUUGACGGUACCUAAACAAAAAGCCACGGCUAACUACGUG